AGAGUUUGAUCCUGGCUCAGAACGAACGCUGGCGGCGUACUUAACACAUGCAAGUCGUACGAGAAAGGGGACUUCGGUCCCUGAGUACAGUGGCGAACGGGUGCGUAACACGUAUGUAAUCUACCCCGAACACUGGGAUAACCCUCCGAAAGGAGGGCUAAUACUGGAUAGGGUCCCUGAGGUCUAAGCCGCAGGGGGAAAACGGGCCUCUGUUUCAUGCUCGUGGUUCGGGAUGAGCUUGCGGCCCAUUAGCUAGUUGGUAGGGUAAUGGCCUACCAAGGCAACGAUGGGUAGCUGGUCUGAGAGGAUGGUCAGCCACACUGGCACUGAGACACGGGCCAGACUCCUACGGGAGGCAGCAGUGGGGAAUAUUGGACAAUGGGGGCAACCCUGAUCCAGCAAUGCCGCGUGAGUGAUGAAGGCCUUCGGGUUGUAAAGCUCUUUUGCCAGGGACGAUGAUGACGGUACCUGGAGAAUAAGCCCCGGCUAACUUCGUGCCAGCCGCCGCGGUAAUAC
This 516-nucleotide ribosomal RNA is filed under the name uncultured bacterium. RNAcentral's name for it is "bacterial SSU rRNA". It matches the Rfam family "Bacterial small subunit ribosomal RNA", at positions 8 to 526 of the family's 1533-position model. The record is from RNAcentral.